RNAcentral lists this small RNA (539 nucleotides) under Pongo abelii (Sumatran orangutan). RNAcentral describes it as "processed transcript". Lineage: Eukaryota; Metazoa; Chordata; Mammalia; Primates; Hominidae. The record is from RNAcentral.
AGAGUGAGACUCUGUCUCAAAACAAACAAACAAACAAACAAUAGAAAAUUCAGUCUGGACUGGUGGAGGGGAAAUUUUUACACAUAAUAUAAAAAGAUGGUUUUUGUUAUUGAGCUGGUAAUGCCACUGUCAUCAAAUAUGAGGAGAAACCUCCAAAACCAGCAUUUCAGAAUGGUUCCUCAGGAUCCUUUUAUUUGAAGCCUUUGGUAUCCAGGGCUCAUGUUCACUUGCUGAAAACUCCUCCAAAAGGUCCUUCGAGAAAAAAUUUAUUUACAGCUCUUAAUGCAGUUGAAAAGAGCAGGCAAAAGAAUCCUCGAAGCUUAUGUAUCCAGACACAGACAGCUCCCGAUGUGCUGCCCCCUGAGAAAACACUUGAAUUGACGCAAUAUAAAACAAAAUGUGAAAACCAAAGUGGAUUUAUCCUGCAGCUCAAGCAGCUUCUUGCCUGUGGUAAUACCAAGUUUGAGGCAUUGACAGUUGUGAUUCAGCACCUGCUGUCUGAGCGGGAGGAAGCGCUGAAACAACACAAAACCCUAUCU